CGAUAAUCGCGAGGCGUGGGUUGCCGCAAGGCAUUGAUAGGGAAUAUGGUGAGGCGCUAGCCGAGUCCAUAGCUGUGCCCGCAACUGUAGGCGCGAAGUCCGGCAUCUGUAUGCCACUGUAUCGACCGGGAAGGCGAUGCCGGACGCCGACGCGCAAGCCAGGAGACCUGCCCGCGCCCGGAACGCCUG
This 189-nucleotide non-coding RNA is filed under the name Burkholderia sp. Lineage: Bacteria; Pseudomonadati; Pseudomonadota; Betaproteobacteria; Burkholderiales; Burkholderiaceae. The record is from RNAcentral.